UCAAAGGAAUUGACGGGGGCCCGCACAAGCGGUGGAGUAUGUGGUUUAAUUCGAUGCAACGCGAAGAACCUUACCAGGGAUUGACAUCCUACGAAUCUUCUUGAAAGGGAAGAGUGCCUUCGGGAACGUAGAGACAGGUGGUGCAUGGCUGUCGUCAGCUCGUGUCGUGAGAUGUUGGGUUAAGUCCCGCAACGAGCGCAACCCUCGUCCUUAGUUGCCAUCAUUAAGUUGGGCACUUUAAGGAGACUGCCGGUGACAAACCGGAGGAAGGUGGGGAUGACGUCAAGUCAUCAUGCCCCUUACAUCCUGGGCUACACACGUACUACAAUGCAACGGACAAAGGGCAGCCAACUAGCGAUAGUGCGCAAAUCCCAUAAACCGUUGCUCAGUUCAGAUUGCAGGCUGCAACUCGCCUGCAUGAAGGCGGAAUCGCUAGUAAUCGCAGGUCAGCAUACUGCGGUGAAUACGUUCCCGGGCCUUGUACACACCGCCCGUCACACCAUGGAAGUUGGCCACGCCCGAAGUCGUUACCCCAACCGUUUACGGAGGGGGACGCCGAAGGCAGGGCUGAUGACUGGGGUGAAGUCGUAACAAGGUAACC
RNAcentral lists this ribosomal RNA (601 nucleotides) under uncultured bacterium. RNAcentral's name for it is "bacterial SSU rRNA". It matches the Rfam family "Bacterial small subunit ribosomal RNA", at positions 901 to 1501 of the family's 1533-position model. The record is from RNAcentral.